This 253-nucleotide ribosomal RNA is filed under the name uncultured bacterium. RNAcentral describes it as "partial 16S ribosomal RNA". It matches the Rfam family "Bacterial small subunit ribosomal RNA", at positions 524 to 776 of the family's 1533-position model. The record is from RNAcentral.
UACAUGGGGUGCAAACGUUGCUCGGAAUUAUUGGGCGUAAAGCGCGCGUAGGCGGUUACUCAAGUCGGAUGUGAAAGCCCUCGGCUUAACUGAGGAAGUGCACCCGAAACUGAGUAGCUAGAGUACCAAAGAGGGUCGCGGAAUUCCCGGUGUAGAGGUGAAAUUCGUAGAUAUUGGGAAGAACACCGGUGGCGAAGGCGGCUCACUGGCUCGUAUCUGACGCUCAGGCGCGACAGCGUGGGGAUCAAACAGG